Molecule: ribosomal RNA, 292 nt
Filed under: uncultured bacterium
Lineage: Bacteria
Description: partial 16S ribosomal RNA
Rfam family: Bacterial small subunit ribosomal RNA
Source: RNAcentral
GUGUCAGCAGCCGCGGUAAUACGAAGGGGGCGAGCGUUGUUCGGAUUUACUGGGCGUAAAGGGCGCGCAGGCGGCGAACCAAGUCAGGCGUGAAAGCCCCGGGCUCAACCUGGGAAUAGCGUUUGGGACUGGUUUGCUAGAGUUCGGGAGAGGAGCGUGGAAUUCCCAGUGUAGAGGUGAAAUUCGUAGAUAUUGGGAAGAACACCGGUGGCGAAGGCGGCGCUCUGGACCGAGACUGACGCUGAGGCGCGAAAGCGUGGGGAGCAAACAGGAUUAGAUACCCCCGUAGUCC